Non-coding RNA from Xyrichtys novacula (pearly razorfish), 77 nucleotides. NCBI's taxonomy places the organism in Eukaryota, Metazoa, Chordata, Actinopteri, Labriformes, Labridae. The record is from the annotation of a GenBank genome assembly.
GCCACAUGAUGAGUUUAGAUGCGUCAGCAGCCCACGGGCCGUGGUGACCUUCUAUCUAUCACCCUUUUCUGAUGGCG